This 55-nucleotide transfer RNA is filed under the name Vertigo pusilla. RNAcentral describes it as "tRNA-Ser". The record is from RNAcentral. Lineage: Eukaryota; Metazoa; Mollusca; Gastropoda; Stylommatophora; Vertiginidae.
AGAAGAUAUAAUUGAGGCUGCUAACUUUGAUUUGGGUUUUUGGAUCCGCUUCUUU